GAAAUGCGAUAAGUAAUGUGAAUUGCAGAAUUCAGUGAAUCAUCGAAUCUUUGAAAGCAACUUGCGCUCCUUGGUAUUCCUUGGAGCAUGCCUGUUUGAGUAUCAUGAAAUCUUCAAAGUAAAUCUUUUGUUAACUCAAUUGGUUUCUACUUUGGUAUUGGAGGUCUUUGCAGCUUCACACCUGCUCCUCUUUGUUCAUUAGCUGGAUCUCAGUGUUAUGCUUGGUUCCACUCGGCGUGAUAAGUUAUCUAUCGCUGAGGACACUGUAAAAGGUGGCCAAGGUAAAUGCAGAUGAACCGCUUCUAAUAGUCCAUUGACUUGGACAAUACUUUUAUGAUCUGAUCUCAAAUCAGGUAGGACUACCCGCUUAACUUAAGC
RNAcentral lists this unclassified non-coding RNA (378 nucleotides) under plant metagenome. RNAcentral describes it as "partial contains 5.8S ribosomal RNA, internal transcribed spacer 2, and large subunit ribosomal RNA". The stretch from base 1 to 105 matches the Rfam family "5.8S ribosomal RNA", at positions 50 to 154 of the family's 154-position model. The record is from RNAcentral.